GUUUGAUCCUGGCUCAGAUUGAACGCUGGCGGCACGCCUAACACAUGCAAGUCGAGCGGUAGCAGGACUAGUAGCAAUACUAGUUGCUGACGAGCGGCGGACGGGUGAGGAAUACGUAGGAAUCUACCCUCGAGCGGGGGAUAACUAAGGGAAACUUUAGCUAAUACCGCAUACACUCGAGAGAGGAAAGCUGCAGCAAUGUAGCACUCGAGGAGGAGCCUGCGUCCGAUUAGCUAGUUGGUAGGGUAAGAGCCUACCAAGGCGAUGAUCGGUAACUGGUCUGAGAGGACGACCAGUCACACUGGGACUGAGACACGGCCCAGACUCCUACGGGAGGCAGCAGUGGGGAAUAUUGGACAAUGGGGGCAACCCUGAUCCAGCGAUGCCGCGUGAGUGAAGAAGGCCUUCGGGUCGUAAAGCUCUUUAGGUUGGGAAGAAGGGUGAUAGAGGAAAUGCUAUCACUUUGACGGUACCGACAGAAUAAGCACCGGCAAACUCUGUGCCAGCAGCCGCGGUAAUACAGAGGGUGCGAGCGUUAAUCGGAAUUACUGGGCGUAAAGGGCGCGUAGGCGGUGAUAUGAGUGUGAUGUGAAAGCCCCGGGCUUAACCUGGGAAGUGCAUCGCAAACGAUAUGACUGGAGUAUAUGAGAGGGUGGCGGAAUUUCCGGUGUAGCGGUGAAAUGCGUAGAGAUCGGAAGGAACGUCAAUGGCGAAGGCAGCCACCUGGCAUAAUACUGACGCUGAGGCGCGAAAGCGUGGGGAGCGAACAGGAUUAGAUACCCUGGUAGUCCACGCUGUAGACGAUGAGGACUAAAUGUUGCUAGGGGAACCUAGCAGUAUUGAAGCUAACGCGAUAAGUCUUCCGCCUGGGAAGUACGGCCGCAAGGUUGAAACUCAAAGGAACUGACGGGGGCCCGCACAAGCGGUGGAGCAUGUGGUUUAAUUCGAUGCAACGCGAAGAACCUUACCUACCCUUGACAUCCUGCGAAUCCCGAUGAGAGUUGGGAGUGCCGAAAGGAACGCAGAGACAGUGCUGCAUGCUGUCGUCAGCUCGUGUUGUGAGAUGUUGGGUUAGUCCCGUACCGAGCGCAACCCUUGUCCUUAGUUG
This 1108-nucleotide ribosomal RNA is filed under the name uncultured bacterium. RNAcentral's name for it is "bacterial SSU rRNA". It matches the Rfam family "Bacterial small subunit ribosomal RNA", at positions 11 to 1117 of the family's 1533-position model. The record is from RNAcentral.